This 495-nucleotide ribosomal RNA is filed under the name uncultured bacterium. RNAcentral's name for it is "partial 16S ribosomal RNA". It matches the Rfam family "Bacterial small subunit ribosomal RNA", at positions 29 to 506 of the family's 1533-position model. The record is from RNAcentral.
ACGAACGCUGGCGGCGUGCCUCAUACAUGCAAGCUGCGCGAUGAAGAUUGGUGCUUGCACCAAUUUGAAGAGCAGCGAACGGGUGAGUAACGCGUGGGGAAUCUGCCUUUGAGCGGGGGACAACAUUUGGAAACGAAUGCUAAUACCGCAUAACAACUUUAAACAUAAGUUUUAAGUUUGAAAGAUGCAAUUGCAUCACUCAAAGAUGAUCCCGCGUUGUAUUAGCUAGUUGGUGAGGUAAAGGCUCACCAAGGCGAUGAUACAUAGCCGACCUGAGAGGGGUAGAGCCAACUUGGGGCUGGGACCCGCGCCAAAACCCCUCCGGGGGGGCCCGUGAGGGAAUUUCCGGCAAGGGACGAAAUUCUGACCGAGCAACGCCGCGGGAGUGAAAAAGGUUUUGGGAUCGUAAAACUUUUUUGGUAGAAAAAAACGUUGGGGAGAGGGGAAAGCUCAUCAAGUGACGGUAACUACCCAAAAAGGGACGGCUAACUACGU